Megalobrama amblycephala (Wuchang bream) is the source of this 2440-nucleotide long non-coding RNA. RefSeq lists it as uncharacterized. The record is from RefSeq and is a predicted model, not a curated record. Lineage: Eukaryota; Metazoa; Chordata; Actinopteri; Cypriniformes; Xenocyprididae. The transcript is spliced from 3 exons.
GUCUCCUGACUUGCGUCUCGUCAAAACUACAGUCUGAGACCAGGUUUGUGUAACUGUCCUGUUUAUGAGCGCAGGCCUGCCAGGUGGGUGGAAGAUUUGGACUCUGUAAAACUACCUUCCCUGCUCUCUUUCGUCGCUCUGGCCCACGUGUGCCGUGGCCACAGUACCACAAACACUCCCCUGGAGGAGUUGAGAGUGCCACAGAUGUGGCCACACCCCGCUCUCCUUCAGGUCUUGCCUCUGUAAACUCCUCCAAACCCACCCUUCCACCUUCCAGCCUGGUUUUCAAAAGAAACAGAAAAUGAUUAAUGCACAGAGCUGAGAAUGGCUCAGAUGAAGCGAGUGUGUCCAGAGGUUCUGCGAGAGGUCAGAUCAAUUGAAGGACUCUUGAAAAGCAGCCCAUCCCUGCCUUGGGUUGCAGAAGCAAGUUUAACUGGAUGGCACUUAUAUCAGCUAUUAGAACAACUACAAUGAGCUGCAUGACCCUCAUGCUCUUUCUGUCCUGUUGUUGGACCCUUCUAAUGGAACGUAAUGCAUGAGCACUUCCCAAACCAAAACAGAAGGAGGGAGCAGACAGAGGAAUUGUCAGAAACAUACAGACAGCUGCCUCCGAGGCCUCAAAUGAGAGCUCCGCUGAGGAUAACAUAAGCGGCCUGUUUGCAUAAGAUGUUGUGGGAGGUGACUCAAUGCCUGUGGGGAUGCAGUGAGGAGAUAGACUGUUUGGAUCCCUGCCACUUCCACACUCUCAAUUACAGCAUUUGGCUGGACCACUUCUGGCUGGCCGCGAAAAAGCGGCCUCCACCAGAUGGGCUGGGAGCAGCAGCCAUGCAGUGGUAAACCAGACGCAGAUCACCUACACUUCCUCUGGCUUCUCGCGCUGCAGCAAACACAGUCUAGUCAAAAUAAUGGAGUUCUCAGACAAAGUGUAAAUAUACUCACAUCAGAUGGAGGCAGAGACAAAAAAUAAUUCUUCUCAUGAACAGGAAACAUACUCAUGUCAGAAAACAUUUAGGCCUCCGUACACUCCGUACAAUCCUGAUUAAGCAAUAUUGUACUGCUGUACUGAACAUUAGCCAACAUGUUGAUAUUCAGACCAACAGCACAAUUGCUGCAAAUGUGAUAUUGACAGUUCAUUAAACAAACAAACUGAUAUUGAGUGAAUAUCUGACAAAAUUCAGCCAGUUUGUAUCUUUUUCUCUGGCCCACCAAUGGAAAUAGUUAGUGGCUGUUCACACAGAACAUGAUUUUGCAUUCAACUGUGUUGAUUUUCCAUAGUUUUUCUUUGUAAACAUGCGCUGGCCGUUUUUUGACCAUUGCACUCCUCUUUUUCAGUGCCUUGUGGAUUACACUGUUAAAAACCUAAAAAAACAUGUCUCCAGACAUUGUGUUCCUGUUUUUUAUUUCACUGUGUUUCACGUUUUAAAUGCAAAAAUUCAUUCAGUGUGAAUAGCCCCAAAUGCUGCUUGAGGACUAAUACUAAAUCACAUAAUUUAGGACAAAGCACAUGAGAUGAUGAAAUAUAAUGUUGCUCAACUACACAAGCACAUCCUCAUGAAUUCAGUGUCUUUUAUUGUUCCCAUUUGUGCUAUCUUACUGUAAGUAUCCCAGAGUUCAUUUCAUUACUUGCUCUGUUAGGAGGUUCAAAGUGGGGGAUGUGAAAAAAUAAAACUUCAAAUGCAAGAUGGACUGGAAGGAUAUAUUCUAACUUACUUCAAAAGAUUUACUCUUUCCUUUGGACUACUUACUAGUAGUUACAUUUAACUCCCUCAAAAUUCAAAGUAGUGGUCGACUGGUAUGUUUUUCAGAUGUGGGUUCUUAAAUUAUUAUGAUAGUUGGCUUACUGUAAUAAUAUGUUUAAAUUAUUGACAUUAAAUACUUCCGCUUCACUAAUCAAAACAUUUCAAUCUCUAAAUCUUUAUACCACCAUAGGACAUUUUCUGCUUUCUGACAGAUUAUUCCACUAACAAAAUAUGCCUUAAGAGCAAACUGGUGAAACCAUUUGAGGAUUUACCUCAAAGAUGUGUCAGAAGUCUUUACUAUAAUAUGUCCUCAUAGUUCAUGGUGUGGUGCAUUUUACAUAGUUUGACAACUCUUAAAUGAGCUCUGGAUGCUAAAGGUGGAAAAUUAUUCUCUGGCUAAAUCAGUGGUCUUGACACACAUUUCUCUCAUUAUAAGACAACCUCAUCUCCUCAUAGAAUACCAAAAGUAUCAGUUGCUUUCAGAAACUGGUGUGUAUGCAGAAGAUUUACAGGAAAUGGGAGCCCAAAGGCAAAAGACUUAGUCAUGAUGAUGGGCCCUUGUUCUUUUCAGAGGGUUUCAGAGGUUCAGAAUAAAUUUCCCAUAAGAUUUUAAGACCGUACCAGUAACUGACUGUACAACAAAAGCUAUUUCAUUUGAACUUAUGUCCAGUAUUCUGCACAUUUUAAUGAGCUGUUUCGAA